RNAcentral lists this ribosomal RNA (442 nucleotides) under uncultured bacterium. RNAcentral describes it as "bacterial SSU rRNA". It matches the Rfam family "Bacterial small subunit ribosomal RNA", at positions 38 to 507 of the family's 1533-position model. The record is from RNAcentral.
GAAUUCACUAGUGANUGGAUCNCAGGCCUAACACAUGCAAGUCGAACGAGAUCCUUCGGGGUCUAGUGGCGCACGGGUGCGUAACGCGUGGGAAUCUGCCCUUUGCUUCGGAAUAACAGUUAGAAAUGACUGCUAAUACCGGAUGAUGUCGCAAGACCAAAGAUUUAUCGGCAAGGGAUGAGCCCGCGUAGGAUUAGGUAGUUGGUGGGGUAAAGGCUCACCAAGCCGACGAUCCUUAGCUGGUCUGAGAGGAUGAUCAGCCACACUGGGACUGAGACACGGCCCAGACUCCUACGGGAGGCAGCAGUGGGGAAUAUUGGACAAUGGGGGCAACCCUGAUCCAGCAAUGCCGCGUGAGUGAUGAAGGCCUUCGGGUCGUAAAGCUCUUUUACCCGGGAUGAUAAUGACAGUACCGGGAGAAUAAGCCCCGGCUAACUCCGUG